RNAcentral lists this ribosomal RNA (465 nucleotides) under uncultured bacterium. RNAcentral describes it as "partial 16S ribosomal RNA". It matches the Rfam family "Bacterial small subunit ribosomal RNA", at positions 338 to 795 of the family's 1533-position model. The record is from RNAcentral.
CCUACGGGAGGCAGCAGUGGGGAAUAUUGCGCAAUGGGCGAAAGCCUGACGCAGCGACGCCGCGUGAGGGAUGAAGGUCUUCGGAUCGUAAACCUCUGUCAGCAGGGAAGAACGGUCACUGUGCUAAUCAGCAGUGAAUUGACGGUACCUGCAAAGGAAGCACCGGCUAACUCCGUGCCAGCAGCCGCGGUAAUACGGAGGGUGCGAGCGUUAGUCGGAAUUACUGGGCGUAAAGCGCUCGUAGGCGGUAUGUCAAGGCAAGGGGGGAAUCCCCGCGCUCAACGGGGGAACUGCCUUUGAAACUGGCAGACUGGAGUGUGUGAGAGGAUAGUGGAAUUCCAGGUGUAGGAGUGAAAUCCGUAGAUAUCUGGAGGAACAUCAGUGGCGAAGGCGACUAUCUGGCACAUAACUGACGCUGAGGAGCGAAAGCGUGGGUAGCAAACAGGAUUAGAUACCCCUGUAGUC